UCAAUGUAGACAUUUAUCUACAGCCUGUGAAAUAAAUACAUUUUAAAAUAAUGUUUCAUUAAAAUUAAAGCCGAGAAAGAUAAAACAUAGAAGUAUCGAGAAUUAUAUAUACAAUUUAAUUACUUUCAUGAGACGUAAAGUAUUGUAGCAAUAAUAAAACUACAAACAUGUGUGAUAAAAUGGAAUGGAUUAUCUUGAAGCGAAAGCGGCAAUCAAACAAAAGAAACAAGUAGCAAAGCAUACACUAUAUGCAAUAAAGAGUAUGGUCAACUCAUUUGAAAUGGAAAUCUAUCAGUUUGUAAAAAUAUAAAUGCUUUUAAAGGAUCUUGUUGCAAUGAACUAAGACUCUUUAUGUCUAAACCAACACAAACUACAGCUAUUUCAGUUGAAGCUAAAGUUUUGCUUUUUUGGGUCUAUCAAAUACUGCAUGGAGGCAUUGCUGGAAAAUCCAGUUCACAGCAAACUGUAUCAAGUGUGGUGAAACAAGUCAUAGAGUGUCUUAAUUUACCAUUUUUGUAACAGAAAUACAUAACAUUUCCUACAAAUAUAGACUAAUGUAGGAUGAUUGUUGUAUGAUUUUUGGUAUGCAAAAUAAAUCAAGAGAUUGUACUAAACAAUAACACUCAAUGUUCAAAUUAAUCUCAUAAAGAAUCCAUAUUUAUAAAUGAUUUUGUGCUAGUAUUAUCUACCUACAAAAAGGAUUUUGACACCAGUUGUGGAUUCUCUACCAAAUACACCUGAAGCCUUCUACAACAAUAUACUAUCUAAAAUCUCAUAAUGUGGUAUUAUAAACAAUUAAGCUUCUGAAAGCAA
This is a long non-coding RNA of Pieris brassicae (large cabbage white), 813 nucleotides long. RefSeq lists it as uncharacterized. The record is from RefSeq and is a predicted model, not a curated record. The transcript is spliced from 5 exons. NCBI's taxonomy places the organism in Eukaryota, Metazoa, Arthropoda, Insecta, Lepidoptera, Pieridae.